CCUACGGGGGGCAGCAGUGGGGAAUAUUGGACAAUGGGGGCAACCCUGAUCCAGCCAUGCCGCGUGUGUGAAGAAGGCCCUCGGGUUGUAAAGCACUUUCAGUGAGGAAGAACGCCUGGUGGUUAAUACCCAUCAGGAAAGACAUCACUCACAGAAGAAGCACCGGCUAACUCCGUGCCAGCAGCCGCGGUAAUACGGAGGGUGCGAGCGUUAAUCGGAAUUACUGGGCGUAAAGCGCGCGUAGGUGGCUUGAUAAGCCGGUUGUGAAAGCCCCGGGCUCAACCUGGGAACGGCAUCCGGAACUGUCAAGCUAGAGUGCAGGAGAGGAAGGUAGAAUUCCCGGUGUAGCGGUGAAAUGCGUAGAGAUCGGGAGGAAUACCAGUGGCGAAGGCGGCCUUCUGGACUGACACUGACACUGAGGUGCGAAAGCGUGGGUAGCAAACAGGAUUAGAUAACCGGGUAGUC
RNAcentral lists this ribosomal RNA (465 nucleotides) under Vreelandella stevensii. RNAcentral describes it as "partial 16S ribosomal RNA". It matches the Rfam family "Bacterial small subunit ribosomal RNA", at positions 338 to 795 of the family's 1533-position model. The record is from RNAcentral. Lineage: Bacteria; Pseudomonadati; Pseudomonadota; Gammaproteobacteria; Oceanospirillales; Halomonadaceae.